Molecule: microRNA, 22 nt
Filed under: Equus caballus (horse)
Lineage: Eukaryota; Metazoa; Chordata; Mammalia; Perissodactyla; Equidae
Description: eca-miR-9064
Source: miRBase by way of RNAcentral
UUGAAGGUCCAUUGUCCACUGU